CCCCCUUUUCUCUCUCUCUUGCUCUCUCUCUCUCUCUCUCUCUCUCUCUCUCUCUCUCUCUCUGUCUCAUCAUUGUAAAUGUGUUAUGAAUGCAUGGGGCAUCUUAGACUGAGUUCCAGACAUUUAGGUUCCCAUAUAUCUAUUUGGCUGAUACUGCAUAAAAAGAACUGGCUGUGGAUGGAGUAGAUUGUUGAAUUCUUGUCUGAAAAAAAUGACAAAUGUUUCAAAUGCAUGAUACAUGAUGUAAAAUAGAUUCUGUCCUUCCUGGAUAAGGAUACAUACUUUGUGGAGCUGCUUUUGCAAACAGACCCCUCUCAUGGUUGAAGGAGAGAACCUCAGGGAUCACUACUCACAUCAGUGGGUUGAGGUUUUGGGACUUCAGGAACACAUUGGACACAGCUUGACAAAAAUUGUGAAGUCACUGUGGAAACCUAUUCUGAAGUCCUCUAAGAUGCAUGUCCUGUUAUUUUGAAGCCAAAGUGAGCCAGUGAAAACACUCAAAGGAAGAGAACAUAGUCAACUUCUUCUGCAUCCUCUAGUGGGGGGAUGUCUUUGGAUGUCAUUGCUGAGGUGGAAGUGAUGACUAGUCUGAUUUUGAGGAUUCAAAAUGGCUUCUCUGAAGUCUGACAUCUUGAGGGGCUCUUAUGCGACUCUUGACUUGAGUACCACCCUAAGGCAUUUCCUGUAUGGUGACUUCAGGUGGUCAGAUUCACUUUGUGCCCAGGAUACUAAGAGUAAAUAUUACAGAAAAUAAAGUGAAAUUGUGUCCUUUUCUGAUUUAA
This is a long non-coding RNA of Chinchilla lanigera (long-tailed chinchilla), 782 nucleotides long. RefSeq lists it as uncharacterized. The transcript is spliced from 3 exons. The record is from RefSeq and is a predicted model, not a curated record. Lineage: Eukaryota; Metazoa; Chordata; Mammalia; Rodentia; Chinchillidae.